AUGGCGGACAACAGGUCGGCGGCGGCGGCGGCGGUGGGGCCGCUGCUGCUGCCGCGGAAGAAGUCGUCGUCGGCGGCGCAGUACACCCGCAGCGCGUCGCACGCGGGGGACGAGCUGCGCAGCUUCCGGGCCUGCCUCCGCUGGAUGUGCAUCGACCACACCGACGGGCCGCGCUCCGCGGGCUCCUGGGCGGUCUUCUUCCUGCUCGCCGUCGCCGCGCCCGCGGCGGUCACCCUGGCCCUCCCGGCCUCGGCCCCGCCGCGGCCCCUGGACGGGCAGGUGCAGGUCUCGCUCACCCUGGCCGCCACGCUCGCCUUCCUCUCCCUCUGCUCGCUGCUCCGGGUCGGCCUCCGCCGCCUGCUCUGCAUCGACCGCCUCCGCCACGACUCGGACGAGGUGCGCGCGGGAUACACCGCGCAGCUCAACCGCUCCUUCCGCGUCCUCGCCUGCUUCCUCGCGCCCUGCUCCCUCGCCGACGCCGCCUACAAGGUCUACUGGUACUGGAUCGCCGCGCCCUUCCGCUCGCCCUGGUGGAACGCGGCCGCCUGCGCGCUCGAGACCGCCUCCUGGGUCUACCGCACCGCCGUCUUCUUCAUGAUCUGCGUCCUCUUCCGGGUCAUCUGCUACCUGCAGGUGCUGCGCAUGGUGGGCUUCGCGCGGGAGUUCGGCAGGUUCGCCGACGUCGCCGUCGUGCUGGAGCACCACCGCCGGAUCAGGGACCAGCUCCGCAGGAUCAGCCACAGGUACCGCCGGUUCAUAAUAUUCUGCCUCGUGCUCGUCACCGCCAGCCAGUUCUCCGCCCUGCUCGCCACCACCAGGCCACAUGCGCGGAUCAAUAUCGCCACCGCCGGCGAGCUCGCGCUCUGCUCAGUGAGCCUGGUGGCGGGGCUGCUGGUCUGUCUGCACAGCGCGGCCAAGAUCACGCACAAGACGCAGGCAAUCACGAGCGUCGCGGCGGCGUGGCACGCGGACGCCACCAUCCACGCCUUCGACAAUGACCUGGAGGACCCCGACCCCGCCCUGCCCACCGCCACCGGCUACCUGGCGCCGGCCAACGCCUACCGGGUGGCCCCCGGCGAGGAGUCCGACGGCUACGGGGACGACGACGACGACGACACCAGGAGCGAGGACUCCAUCGACGAAUCCAAGCUUGUGCCCUUCCAGGUCAACAACAUGUGCUUCCAGAAGAGGCAGGCACUGGUGAACUACCUGGAGAACAACCGGGCGGGCAUCACGGUGUACGGCUUCGUGGUCGACCGGACAUGGCUGCACGCGCUCUUCAUGAUCGAGUUCUCUCUCGUCAUGUGGCUGCUGGGGAAGACGGUCGGCAUAUCUUGA
Molecule: ribosomal RNA, 1338 nt
Filed under: Triticum aestivum (bread wheat)
Lineage: Eukaryota; Viridiplantae; Streptophyta; Magnoliopsida; Poales; Poaceae
Description: partial small subunit ribosomal RNA
Source: RNAcentral